GUGUGUGUGUGUGUGUGUGUGUGUGUGUGUGUGUGUGUGUGUGUGUGUGUUUGUGUGUGAUCUGUGAAUCUGUGUGAAGGUGAGCCAGGGGUUCUCCUGACUUGAGGGCUGUCUGACUGAUGUGUGAAGGCCCGUGUGUGUACGUGUAGUGCACUGCCUCCACCCCUCUCUUCACUCUCUGUCUGUCCUCUGUGGGGUUUUCCAUUGACUGGUUAGAUCUCCACUGUUGGAUCCAGGCAGGUGUAGAAGUCAGUGAUCUCUGCUGAUCCCUUUAUCUCCAUCUAUCUAUUGGGAGGGAUAAUGAUUUUAACUAAAUGAGAGUCUUGCACUUCCCCACCCUACUAGAUUAGCGGAUCAAUGGAACAGCAUUCGUGUGUUCAUCUGGG
Molecule: long non-coding RNA, 386 nt
Organism: Scophthalmus maximus (turbot)
Lineage: Eukaryota; Metazoa; Chordata; Actinopteri; Pleuronectiformes; Scophthalmidae
Exons: 3
Source: RefSeq, a predicted model, not a curated record